AGAGUUUGAUCCUGGCUCAGGAUGAACGCUAGCGGCAGGCCUAACACAUGCAAGUCGAGGGGGAACGAUGUCUUCGGACAGUCGACGACGCACGGGCGAGUAACGCGUAUGCAACCUACCUCAAACAGGGGGAUAGCUCAGGGAAACCUGGAUUAAUACCCCAUAAUAUUUAGAUUUGGCAUCAGAUUUAAAUUAAAACUCCGGUGGUUUGAGAUGGGCAUGCGUGACAUUAGCUAGUUGGUAAGGUAAUGGCUUACCAAGGCUACGAUGUCUAGGGGUUCUGAGAGGAUGAUCCCCCACACUGGUACUGAGACACGGACCAGACUCCUACGGGAGGCAGCAGUGAGGGAUAUUGGUCAAUGGGCGAAAGCCUGAACCAGCCAUCCCGCGUGUAGGAAGACUGCGCUCUGGGUUGUAAACUACUUUUAUAAAGGAAGAAACCCUCUUACGUGUAGUAAUUUGACGGUAGCAAAUGAAUAAGGACCGGCUAACUCCGUGCCAGCAGCCGCGGUAAUACGGAGGGUCCAAGCGUUAUCUGGAUUCAUUGGGUUUAAAGGGUGCGCAGGCGGGCUUGUAAGUCAGUGGUGAAAUUCUGCCGCUUAACGGUAGAACUGCCAUUGAUAGUGCAAGUCUUGAGAGUAUGGUUGAGGUAAGCGGAAUGUGUCGUGUAGCGGUGAAAUGCAUAGAUAUGACACAGAACGCCAAUUGCGAAGGCAGCUUACUAAGCCAUUACUGAGGCUGAGGGACGAAAGCGUGGGGAGCGAACAGGAUUAGAUACCCUGGUAGUCCACGCCGUAAACGAUGUUCACUCGCUGUCUGCGAUAUACCAGUAGGCGGAUAAGCGAAAGCAUUAAGUGAACCACCUGGGGAGUACGAUAGCAAGGUUGAAACUCAAAGGAAUUGACGGGGGCCCGCACAAGCGGAGGAACAUGUGGUUUAAUUCGAUGAUACGCGAGGAACCUUACCUGGGCUUAAAUCUAGAUUGCAUAGAGUAGAAAUAUGUCCUUCUUGGAACUAAUUACAAGGUGCUGCAUGGUUGUCGUCAGCUCGUGCCGUGAGGUGUCGGGUUAAGUCCCAUAACGAGCGCAACCCUUAUCAUUAGUUGCCAUCGGGUCAUGCCGGGGACUCUAAUGAGACUGCCAGUGUAAACUGUGAGGAAGGUGGGGAUGACGUCAAAUCAGCACGGCCCUUAUGUCCAGGGCUACACACGUGUUACAAUGGUCGAUACAAAGGGCAGCUACCUGGUGACAGGAUGCUAAUCUCUAAAGUCGAUCUCAGUUCGGAUCGAAGUCUGCAACUCGACUUCGUGAAGUUGGAUUCGCUAGUAAUCGUAUAUCAGCAAUGAUACGGUGAAUACGUUCCCGGGCCUUGUACACACCGCCCGUCAAACCAUGGAAGCUGGGGGUACCUGAAGUUCGUAACCGUAAGGAGCGUCCUAGGGUAAAUCUGGUAACUGGGGUUAAGUCGUAACAAGGUAGC
Molecule: ribosomal RNA, 1479 nt
Filed under: uncultured prokaryote
Description: partial 16S ribosomal RNA
Rfam family: Bacterial small subunit ribosomal RNA
Source: RNAcentral